This 253-nucleotide ribosomal RNA is filed under the name uncultured bacterium. Its description in RNAcentral is "partial 16S ribosomal RNA". It matches the Rfam family "Bacterial small subunit ribosomal RNA", at positions 524 to 776 of the family's 1533-position model. The record is from RNAcentral.
UACGGGGGGGGCAAGCGUUGUUCGGAAUUACUGGGCGUAAAGGGUUCGUAGGUGGCCGGCUAAGUCAGACGUGAAAUCCCUCAGCUUAACUGGGGAACUGCGUCUGAGACUGGUCGGCUUGAGUGCAGGAGAGGAACGCGGAAUUCCAGGUGUAGCGGUGAAAUGCGUAGAUAUCUGGAGGAACACCGGUGGCGAAGGCGGCGUUCUGGACUGCAACUGACACUGAGGAACGAAAGCCAGGGGAGCAAACGGG